Molecule: ribosomal RNA, 253 nt
Filed under: uncultured bacterium
Lineage: Bacteria
Description: partial 16S ribosomal RNA
Rfam family: Bacterial small subunit ribosomal RNA
Source: RNAcentral
UACGUAGGCAGCAAGCGUUGUUCGGAAUCACUGGGCGUAAAGAGUGUGUAGGCGGUCGGCUAAGUUCGGUGUGAAAUCUCCCGGCUCAACUGGGAGGGUGCGCCGGAAACUGGCGGACUGGAGCGUGGGAGAGGAAAGCGGAAUUCCUGGUGUAGCGGUGAAAUGCGUAGAGAUCAGGAGGAACACCAGCGGUGUAGACGGCUUUCUGGACCACAGCUGACGCUGAGACACGAAAGCGUGGGUAGCAAACAGG